GUGUCAGCCGCCGCGGUAAUACGAAGGGGGCUAGCGUUGCUCGGAAUCACUGGGCGUAAAGCGCACGUAGGCGGAUCGUUAAGUCAGGGGUGAAAUCCUGGGGCUCAACUUCAGAACUGCCCUUGAUACUGGCGAUCUCGAGUUCGAGAGAGGUUGGUGGAACUCCGAGUGUAGAGGUGAAAUUCGUAGAUAUUCGGAAGAACACCAGUGGCGAAGGCGGCCAACUGGCUCGAUACUGACGCUGAGGUGCGAAAGCGUGGG
This 261-nucleotide ribosomal RNA is filed under the name uncultured bacterium. RNAcentral's name for it is "partial 16S rRNA". It matches the Rfam family "Bacterial small subunit ribosomal RNA", at positions 505 to 765 of the family's 1533-position model. The record is from RNAcentral.